AAGCGUUUAUGACCAGACUUGGGCUUGGUUAAUCAUCUGGGGUUCUCCCCAGUGCACUUUUCCAGUCCAGGCCAGCAUCAGUUUUCCCCGGGGGAUAAAGACUUCGGGAAUGUGGCUCUCUUCGGGGAGUGUUAUAGCC
Molecule: ribosomal RNA, 139 nt
Filed under: Fusarium fujikuroi
Lineage: Eukaryota; Fungi; Ascomycota; Sordariomycetes; Hypocreales; Nectriaceae
Description: partial large subunit ribosomal RNA
Source: RNAcentral